This 85-nucleotide non-coding RNA is filed under the name unclassified sequences. The record is from Rfam.
UCUGUGGAUCGUUAUAUUAAAUGAAAGUAGUUAGUAACAAUGAGUAAUUGUUGUUAGAACGAAAUCAGACGGGGUGAAGCAGAAA